Molecule: ribosomal RNA, 279 nt
Filed under: uncultured bacterium
Lineage: Bacteria
Description: partial 16S ribosomal RNA
Rfam family: Bacterial small subunit ribosomal RNA
Source: RNAcentral
UGCCAGCCGCCGCGGUAAUACGGGAGGUGCAAGCGUUGUUCGGAAUGACUGGGCGUAAAGCGCACGUAGGCGGGUUUAUAAGUCAGUUGUGAAAGCCCAAGGCUCAACCUUGGAACUGCAAUUGAAACUGUAAGUCUUGAAUGCUUGAGAGGAUGGCGGAAUUCCGGGUGUAGAAGUGAAAUUCGUAGAUAUCCGGAGGAACAUCAGAGGCGAAGGCGGCCAUCUGGCGAUGCAUUGACGCUGAGGUGCGAAAGCUAGGGUAGCGAACGGGAUUAGAUA